RNAcentral lists this long non-coding RNA (548 nucleotides) under Vigna radiata. RNAcentral's name for it is "long non-coding RNA (VRAD_LNC005805)". Lineage: Eukaryota; Viridiplantae; Streptophyta; Magnoliopsida; Fabales; Fabaceae. The record is from RNAcentral.
UAAUAUAAUUAAAAGAAAUCAAAUGAGACAGAUUAUCACUGUAAUCACUCACCUUUAUAAAUAAAACACACAUUACAUAAAAGCCAAGUUUCACCAAUGAGCUUAAAUGAGACAGUCUCAACCAAGUUUCAGCAACAUUACUAAUACAAUUACAUUAAAAACAAAUAUCACGAAGACCAUCCCCACUAAGACUUUCAACCACUUUUCCAGCUUAACUAAAGUUUUCUCUACAAAAGUCAUUCUCAUUUUUUCACCAUAUGUUUCUUCCAUUUGCAGCAUAUUGUGUUCCAUGCUCAUCACACCCACUUCUUCAUUUCUUACACUUUCACUUCUUUUUAUUUCAUUCACCUCAUCUCCUUCUUUAAUGCACCACUGAAAGAAGUUGCAGUCAAUCAAAUCUUCACUCCCACCUUGUUCAACAAGAAGACCCAUUCCUUCGUCAAAACCCAAAUAAAUAGGCAAAGAUUUAUGCUUAUGUAAAAUGGACCUUGAAGUUAGGGCAUCCCCAGAUUUUUUUUCCCCUUGUUUUUAGGGGUUCUCGCAAUGCG